This 139-nucleotide small nucleolar RNA is filed under the name Setaria italica (foxtail millet). RNAcentral describes it as "Small nucleolar RNA Z247". It matches the Rfam family "Small nucleolar RNA Z247". From Rfam's summary of the family: Z247 is a member of the C/D class of snoRNA which contain the C (UGAUGA) and D (CUGA) box motifs. Most of the members of the box C/D family function in directing site-specific 2'-O-methylation of substrate RNAs. Lineage: Eukaryota; Viridiplantae; Streptophyta; Magnoliopsida; Poales; Poaceae. The record is from Rfam by way of RNAcentral. RNAcentral also lists the same sequence under 1 other name.
AAAGUCGAAGACGACGAGAUGAUAUCCUUUAUUCUCACUAGUUUGGAUAGUGAAUAUAAUCCUAUUGUUACCUCUGUUAUGGGUCAUCCUGAUGAGAUUCCCUUGAGCGAACUGUAUGCUCAGGUGAUGGCGUAUGAGA